GGAGAGGGCGGGGCCACGGUGCGAGCGGAGAGGAGGCAGCUGGAACAUUUGCCGGCGGGAAGAGCAGUGACCCUGCCCCGAGGAAGCAACCGGCCCGGCCCGGCACAGAGAGGGCAGCAGCGGGCAGGCAUUCCGCAUGGGACACACCUUAUCCCGCUGGCCCCAGGUGAGUGUGCUGCGGGCAAAGAGGUGGGUGGGCGUGGAAAGCAAGCAGAGACGAAAUAAGAGACUAAUCCUUGCUGUGGCAGGACUGUCCACCUGCAUAGCAUGUGAAGCUGUCAUAGGCCAUUCUGGACCCUUGAGCCAUCGGGCUACGUAGGUGCUGUAAGCAGGGCUAAGCUGUAGCUUUCCAGGUGCUGCUGGAUCUGCCUUGGCCAUCAGGCCCAGUGGUCAGGGCAGAUGGGAGUUGGGAGUCCUACACCUGGAUGGCCACAGGUUUCCCAUCCCUGGUCCACACUGACCGGCAGCAGCUUUGCGGCGUGUCAGACAAGGGGUGGUUUCCUUGCUGCAGAUUGGAGCUCCUGCAAACCUGCAAAGGUGUUUGUUGCGCUGCCAGUGGGCUCUGCCCCUUUCCCUUAGGUGUGUGUAGACAGCACGAGGCAGUGGCACACCUCAAAUGUUUUGAUGUGGGACCCUCUUUCCAGCCAACUCCAAUACCUCCGUUCCCUCCAGCCUCUGCAAUGGAAAUCACAGGAAUAUCACAUCAGCAGUGUUUUAAAUUAAUAUAGGGUGCCUGUACAGGAGGGCCCCACUCAUAUGGCAGGUUACGUUCCAGACCCCCGCCGAAAAGCAAAAACUGCUGAAAAGCGGAACUCAUUGAAUAGAAUGGUGCGCAACACCCAAAAACCACCCUAAAAGCGGAACAAGCACCGUAUGAGUGGGGCUUUAGUCUAAUUUCAUCUAAUUGAGACCACCGCAUUAGCGAAGUGCCGUAAAGCGGGGCCCUACUGUAUAUGUAUGUAUGUGUAUAUGUAUGGAAAUAGGAUUCAAGCAUGGUGUACAGGAAGGGUGAGGAAGUUGUGGUCCUCCAGACGCUGUUGUGCUUCAACUCCCAUCAUCAGCCCCGGGCAGGGGUGGAAACUGUAGCCCUGCGGCUUCCAGAGGACCCCUGGAGUGGGUAGGCCUAUUUCUCAAAGGCCCACACCACAGCAAUGUUGUACUGCAGGCCCAGUGGGAGGAGUGGGAAGCCCAUGACUGUGGAUCACACCAGACACCUCUUGUCGCGGCUGCCCCACCAGGGAACAUGCCAGGUCCCUCCAUUUGAAGGGCAGGGAGAGUCCAGGCGUCACUUGCAGAGCAAAUCCCUCCAGCCAGCACCAAACCCGAGGUCAAGCUGCAUCCGCAAAAGCAGUAUUUGUCCUGCCCGUUGGUUUGGGGAGAAAUGCACUUGAGACGCCCUUUGUGCAUUUCUGCCCAUUUGUGAAUUGUCCCCCCCUUGUCCCAGGAAGGGUCGCGUAAGGAAGCCUUGCCUCUUUCCCCCUCCAGGCCAGGCUCAGCCAGUCCCUCCACGGAUCUUCAUCCUCUACGUAGCGGUGGCUAGCACCCUCCAUGUCACCCUCCCCCAGAAGCUGGUGGCUGCUUACAUCCUCGGUAACAGCUUCUCUUGGGAUCGGGCCCUCCCAACUCUGCAACCGAGGCCUGGGUGGGCGGUAGAAGCUUGUGAGAGCACAAGUGUGGAAUGCAGAAGGCCAGAUGAUUCAGUCUCAUACCACAAAACCUCAAAUUCUAGGGGCAGGCAGCUUUUAAGUUGAGAUGAAGUAAUUUGAGCAUUCCCAACUGCUGGUCCGAGCUGUGGUGGAUAUUCCCAGCAUGCCCUUCUUGAGAGCAACGCUAACGGAGCUUGCCCCAGGCUCAUUUGGAGCACAGGACUCUGACCCAAUUGAUGGGCAGUGGGAGGGAGGGGCUUCCCUCCCUGGGAUCUAAGGAAGAGCUACUGCGUUCUGUGUUUCGGUAUUGCCUCUUAACAAUGGCGUUCCUGCGGACCUGAGCCCCCCUUCUCUGAAGUGUACUGAACGUGCAGGGACAAAUCAAGGCCAGGAUUGGGGGGGAGGGGGCAGCUUGUCCAGGAGGUCCACAAGCCCCUCUUCUCCCCCACCCUGCCACGAGGGUCCAUGCCAGUCUACCAUCCACGAAUGAGGAAGCAUGGUGACCCCCUCCAAUCUCAUCCAGCCACCUCUUUGCUGUGAAUGCCCUUGUGAGUAGCAGGGAGCCUGGCUGCCCUGGCGGUGUUUGGAAGGUGGACGCUUUGGGGGAUGGCCUGGAGCCUAAUGUCUUAAAAGGGCAGGAGGUUUGGGGGAGGGGGGUUAUCACACCAUCUGCCUGGACAACUUUCCAUCAUGUUGAAAUAAAAACAAGCCAUCCAAACAAGGACUCUCCUCCAAGUCACGGCCCUUCCUGACUGAGCAGCUUGGUCUUGUCAGUGGGUGGGGAGCAACAGCCGCAGCCAGGCCCAGAGAACAGAAAAGUGCAGAGCAGCUUAACCUUUUGGGGUUUACGGCCAAGAGAAAUAGCGAUCUGCAGCACCAAGAGGAGUCCCUGGCCUCCAACAGCUCCUAGGCCCUGCUUUGCUGACCAAAGCCCCAAACGAGCUGCACCCCAUCGUGCCUCUUCACUGCAAGGCUUGGGGGGUUGUAUUGGGGGGCUUCCCGGAGUAGCAAGACUCACCCCCCCCCAGCUCAGCACCCCACACUCCCUCCCCCCGUGCCCCCCAGCCCAGCGUCACUCUUUGGAAAGGAAGGGCAGAGCCUGUUGUGAGAUCUGGCAGGUGGUUCCCACCUUUUAUUUAACAGGAUUAUGGUAUAGAUUCUUCAGCCAUGAUUCCGGGGCAGUAAGGACAGAGCACAGCCCCAGAACACACACACAAACAGCCCCUGCCCCACACAUACAUCCCACAACCCACCCACCCCAUGGAGAGAAAGCCACAAGAAAACCCUCAAGGAUCAGCUCAACAAGCAGUUUUGGAAGGGAUGGACAGACCCACUACCCCUGCAAAGGCUCUGGCUGGCUAAGAGAUUCUAGGCAUGGUGGGUGGGGGUGGGGGGAGAGCGUGGCAUGGGGAAUUACAGCAGACUCCCCUCUUGGGGUAAAUGGUGCUCCACAGGAUUACUUGUGGGAUGGGGUAGGGCAGAAGAGAAGGUAAAGAGCAGCUCGAGGGUGCUUUGGGCAGGAUGAGUUCAGCCCCAUCCAUCAGCUUCUCCAGGCAGCCUAGUGGGUCUUUUUUUUUUUAUGAGGGUGGGUCAGUGGGUGUUGAUCUAGGGUACUACCUUCAGUCACAGAGAUGGGAGACUCUCCUCUCUUUGACCCACUCACCACCCCCCAAAAAAACCCCACGGUAAGACAUGCAGACACCUUGCCCUACUGAAUUGCCAAGCGCUCUGGGGCACAAUAGCAGCAGGCCCACUUCCUGAAAGGGGUGCUACUCUCCCCUCCCCCAGAACUAUAGAAGAUUGACAGCUCCUGGAUGGGAAGAGUCAGCAGCAGGGGGACCCAAAAAGGAUCUUCCUGCUCCCUCCUCUAGAGUCCAAAAAGGGGCAGGAAAAGCAAAAAGGGGGCCACAGAUUUUGAGCCAGGUUUCCUGUGCCAACCUUUGCUUCAAAACUGAGCGUGCCUGUGUGUGUAUGUGGGGAAGAAUACUACCACUUCAGUCCCUCUCCCUCUUUCAAAUAUUCCAGCUGCUGAUGGGUGGUGGGCGCUCUCCUGCCCCGACACAGAUCCCUUUUGUCCCAGCCCCACAGAGGUUUCUUCUGCCCCACAGACUGCCAUUUCACAAGCAGAGACUAUUGGGAGGAUUGCAGCCCCACAGAACGUACAGCCAACAUGCCCCAGUCCCCCUACCACCCAAAGCAACUGCCCCCCGCUCUGCCAGCCUCCCCAGCCCCCCUCGCCGGUUGGCCAGCCCACUUUGGAAUCUCCUACGAGAGGAGGAAGCACCCUGCAGUCCUUGGGAGACGGACGGGGGGGGGGGAAGCAUCAGAAGUGGCCAUUGCCCAGACGUUCUGACUCUCCUCCCUGCCCCCUGGCCCAAAUCCUUAAGCGCUUCUCUUGGCAAGCCACCACACUUCCUUGCACCCAACCCUCCUGACUCCCAUGAAUCACACAAAUGCUUUGCGCAAACCCUUCACAGCACAUACUUCUCCACUUUCCUUCUCAAGACAAUAACAAAAACAUUCUCUCUUCCCUCCCACCCCUCUGGCACACUCCCAAAUUCAUUCCUAUUAAAAACCUACAAGAGUUUCUUUGGAUUUCCCACAAAAAAAGCCCCUGAUGCAAAUGGCGUUUGCUGACACCUCCCCUAUUCACCAACUCCUCCCUGCAACCGCCGGUUCCAAGCCUCCAUCGCCCCCGUUCAGUUCCACAGCCCCCCAUGGCAAGCUCAGUGUUGUUGCAGAACGAGGGCUCUGUCCUGUCCAUCCACGGCCAACAGGCAACAAUCCCACGAACAGGCCGCGCUCCAGGCCGAUGGUGCUGCGCCUCUCCUCCUGUUUGGCCGUGCUGGUGGCAGGGAGCGCAUGAGCAGCCUUCACUCUGCCACCACAGCCAUCAGACGGCACUUUCACGCUCCUGUUGCAGGUUGGGUGCCGAUCUCUGCCGGCGCAUGCGUGGCGGGGGGUUGUUGUCGGGGUUGCUGGGCCGGUGCUGGGGGUACGGCUGGUGCUGGCGGGGGUAGUAGUUAUGCUUGCGGGCCUGGAAGUGCUCCUGCGCCUGCUGCCCGCGCCUGCCUCGCUGCCCGCCCUCCAGGGAGUUACGCCGGGCUGAGCGGCCAGGGUGUUUAUUAUUAUGCUGGGGCACUGGGCUGCUCCGCCGGGCAGGCCUGCUGGGGCUGGGGGGUCGGGGAACCUCCUCCCUGGGAAUGGCCUCCUCCCCGCCCCCCACCAUGAAAGCAGAGUUGGGGCCCCAGGAGUAGCGGUGCUGAGGGUUGCUUUUGAAGGGGAAGCGCAGCUUGCAGUCCUGCGGGGGGAUGAAUUUGCCGUGGGUGGGGGGCAGCUGGCUGCGGCGCAAGGCUUUGGUCAGCUGCUGCUGCUGCAGGUUCUGAAGGCGGGCCUGCUCCUGCCGAAGCCAGCGGAGGCGCCCCCGGCGGAAGGCUGGAUCCUUCUCCAUCAGGUGGGAAACCCGGUCGCAGCAGGAAGCAGCGGCAGCAGCAGCAGAGCCCUCGUCCUCCUUGGCAUCCAGCGAGUCCUGGCUGCCCGUCGGUGCCUUUGGCUGCCCCUCCGACACGAGGCCCUCGGCAAACAGCAAUGAGCCCCACUCGUUCUCUAGGUCUUCAUCCUCCUGAGACGAGGAGAAGGAGGAGAAUAAGACGAUGGCCCAGACAGGAUCCCUCUCUGCCAGGGUCUGGUUCUGCCACAAGCCUAGCUGAGUCCCCCCACCCCACCCUUCAACCAUCACCGCCACCCCAGCUCUAGGGAAUUGAGCUCUAUCAGAGAAGCUUCUGUGCAAUUUUAAGCAGGACCUUUCAAAAACCACAAUAAAAGUAUUUCCCAA
Molecule: long non-coding RNA, 5481 nt
Organism: Rhineura floridana
Lineage: Eukaryota; Metazoa; Chordata; Lepidosauria; Squamata; Rhineuridae
Exons: 2
Source: RefSeq, a predicted model, not a curated record